GACGAACGCUGGCGGCGUGCUUAACACAUGCAAGUCGAACGGAAAGGCCUGCUUUCCCUUGUGGAUUGCGGGUACUCGAGUGGCGAACGGGUGAGUAACACGUGAGUGAUCUGCCCCCAACUUGGGUAUAAGCCUGGGAAACUGGGUCUAAUUCCCGAUAGGACUGCAGGGUGGUGCCUGUGGUGGAAAACGAUUUUCUAGUGGUUGGGGAUGAGCUCGCGGCCUAUCAGCUUGUUGGUGGGGUAAUGGCCUACCAAUGCGGCGACGGGUAGCCGGCCUGAGAGGGUGGACGGCCACAUUGGGACUGAGAUACGGCCCAGACUACUACGGGAGGCAGCAGUGGGGAAUAUUGCACAAUGGGCGGAAGCCUGAUGCAGCGACGCCGCGUGGGGGAUGACGGCCUUCGGGUUGUAAACUCCUUUCGACCGCGAGGAAGCCACCUGGUUGGAAGGGUGGUGACGGUAGUGGUAGAAGAAGCACCGGCUAACUACGUG
Molecule: ribosomal RNA, 494 nt
Filed under: uncultured bacterium
Lineage: Bacteria
Description: partial 16S ribosomal RNA
Rfam family: Bacterial small subunit ribosomal RNA
Source: RNAcentral